Molecule: ribosomal RNA, 1372 nt
Filed under: Nocardia sp.
Lineage: Bacteria; Bacillati; Actinomycetota; Actinomycetes; Mycobacteriales; Nocardiaceae
Description: bacterial SSU rRNA
Rfam family: Bacterial small subunit ribosomal RNA
Source: RNAcentral
UCGAGCGGUAAGGCCCUUCGGGGUACACGAGCGGCGAACGGGUGAGUAACACGUGGGUGAUCUGCCUCGCACUCUGGGAUAAGCCUGGGAAACUGGGUCUAAUACCGGAUAUGAACAUGGUCUGCAUGGAUUGUGUUGGAAAGGUUUACUGGUGCGAGAUGGGCCCGCGGCCUAUCAGCUUGUUGGUGGGGUAACGGCCUACCAAGGCGACGACGGGUAGCCGACCUGAGAGGGUGACCGGCCACACUGGGACUGAGACACGGCCCAGACUCCUACGGGAGGCAGCAGUGGGGAAUAUUGCACAAUGGGCGAAAGCCUGAUGCAGCGACGCCGCGUGAGGGAUGACGGCCUUCGGGUUGUAAACCUCUUUCGACAGGGACGAAGCGCAAGUGACGGUACCUGUAGAAGAAGCACCGGCCAACUACGUGCCAGCAGCCGCGGUAAUACGUAGGGUGCGAGCGUUGUCCGGAAUUACUGGGCGUAAAGAGCUUGUAGGCGGUCUGUCACGUCGAUUGUGAAAACUUGGGGCUCAACUCCAAGCUUGCAGUCGAUACGGGCAGACUAGAGUACUUCAGGGGAGACUGGAAUUCCUGGUGUAGCGGUGAAAUGCGCAGAUAUCAGGAGGAACACCGGUGGCGAAGGCGGGUCUCUGGGAAGUAACUGACGCUGAGAAGCGAAAGCGUGGGUAGCGAACAGGAUUAGAUACCCUGGUAGUCCACGCCGUAAACGGUGGGUACUAGGUGUGGGUUUCCUUCCACGGGAUCCGUGCCGUAGCUAACGCAUUAAGUACCCCGCCCUGGGGAGUACGGCCGCAAGGCUAAAACUCAAAGGAAUUUGACGGGGGCCCGCACAAGCGGCGGAGCAUGUUGAUUAAUUUCGAUGCAACGCGAAGAACCUUACCUGGGUUUGACAUACACCGGAAAGCCAUAGAGAUAUGGCCCCCCUUGUGGUCGGUGUACAGGUGGUGCAUGGCUGUCGUCAGCUCGUGUCGUGAGAUGUUGGGUUAAGUCCCGCAACGAGCGCAACCCUUAUCUUAUGUUGCCAGCGCGUAAUGGCGGGGACUCGUGAGAGACUGCCGGGGUCAACUCGGAGGAAGGUGGGGACGACGUCAAGUCAUCAUGCCCCUUAUGUCCAGGGCUUCACACAUGCUACAAUGGCCGGUACAGAGGGCUGCGAUACCGUGAGGUGGAGCGAAUCCCUUAAAGCCGGUCUCAGUUCGGAUCGGGGUCUGCAACUCGACCCCGUGAAGUUGGAGUCGCUAGUAAUCGCAGAUCAGCAACGCUGCGGUGAAUACGUUCCCGGGCCUUGUACACACCGCCCGUCACGUCAUGAAAGUCGGUAACACCCGAAGCCGGUGGCCUAACCCUUGUGG